CUUUAUUUGGAGCCUUUUAAGGUCCUGAAUGAGGCUUUUUGGGAAAUAUGGAUGGGGCCACAUUUACAUGCUCUACAAUAGACAGGAACAGCACAGUCAAUCAUGUCUACAAAUGUUGGAAACAAAAUUACUGGGCUGUGUUAAAACAGAAGUUAAUGGUUGGGCUGAUUUCUAUUAAGAAGUCACCGCUCAGGGAGAAGCUGGCAAAGGCUGAAGUGGCAUCCGGUGUGGUGGACAGAGGGAGGGGAGAAAGAGCGAGGAAGAGGAGACGAUGCUGCAGAUGAUGCAUCCCCCUCUGGACUGCAUCCUUUCUGGCUGAGUGCGUCCAGUGGGCCAGAGCCAGGUCCUGGAAUCUAGCUAAUGAGACAUACCCCCCCCCGAGGGCCCCGUGUCGUCCUAUUGGUCGAGAGGUUGGCGGCGACCGAGAUGAUUGGCUGAUGAAGUCCUGUGCAAGCAGCUGUCAGAUGGCCUCCUUGGAGCUGUGAGGAGCAAGUUCAGCUGAAGGUCAAGAUGCUAGAAGGGGGGAUAAUGAACAUUUCUGGUCAUAAGUGAGCGUCUUCUGAUCAGCUCAUGGUGGCAGAUGCCUGAAGGCUGGAGAAGGAAGAGGGAUUAUAUGGAAGGAGCAGUUUCAGGUUUAUCUCGAUUAUCCUUAUGAAAGUUUGAUGGGCAGGCAGAAGGCGGGAGUUACAGCUUUGGAUGGAGAUCCAAAGACCAAGAGGCUUUUCUUCUAGAAGAAAACAGUGUCCAGAUGACUACGACUGAAACCCUUUCUACGAUAGAACACUCCUGGACGAAUGAGGAACUACACUGUCUUCUAGAAGAAAGGUCCAAUGUCCAACUACACACAGUUCAUGACUUGAAUUACAGCCUUCCAAGUAAGAUUGAAGACGUUCUGUGGGCAAAACAGUGACCUUAGUCCUUAUUAUUCAUUUUUGUUAGGUUGUUUCUAUU
Long non-coding RNA from Siniperca chuatsi (mandarin fish), 951 nucleotides. RefSeq lists it as uncharacterized. NCBI's taxonomy places the organism in Eukaryota, Metazoa, Chordata, Actinopteri, Centrarchiformes, Sinipercidae. The record is from RefSeq and is a predicted model, not a curated record. The transcript is spliced from 6 exons.